Molecule: long non-coding RNA, 381 nt
Organism: Melitaea cinxia (Glanville fritillary)
Lineage: Eukaryota; Metazoa; Arthropoda; Insecta; Lepidoptera; Nymphalidae
Exons: 2
Source: RefSeq, a predicted model, not a curated record
CUUGAUUGCUUCGGUAAAUUACCGGCGACGUGUCAUGUGCGCGUGUCGGCGACCCGCGCGCUCCUCCGACAUUGAAAUAUAUUCGACACACGCUAAUUGAUGGCCGAGAACAAAGCGUGUUAAUAACGUAAAGUGCGAGCGGCGUAGAAUGCUAAAAGAAGAAAUAUGGCUCGCGCAGCAACGACCCCAUCUCAGAGAUGGAAUCUCAAGGUCCUGCCCGCGGUAACACGCUUUACCGACGUCUAUCUGUACGAGUGUCUUCGAACGUUUCUACCGCUCUUGUUUUAUGGCUUCGAUUCUGAAAUGUAUUAUAAUAAAGUUUAUAUAUAGCGUAUAUAUAUGUAGCGAUACACAUGUAAAUAAAAUUUAAAUUUCUGCGCA